Molecule: long non-coding RNA, 3267 nt
Filed under: Zostera marina
Lineage: Eukaryota; Viridiplantae; Streptophyta; Magnoliopsida; Alismatales; Zosteraceae
Description: long non-coding RNA (ZMAR_LNC002999)
Source: RNAcentral
UCACACUUUACUCUAAACUAAUCCCCCUUUAAGAGAUUUAUUAGGGUCGGGUGUAGUCUUGGAAUCGGGCAGGCGGAAUCCGAUUCCGAACAGAUCGACGAUGGCCGGCCGGUUCUGCUUCAGUCGAUCUUGCGCCGGUCUCUUCUCCAGCCUCGUCGUCCUCCGCGCUCUGCAACAGGUUCGCCUUCAAUUCUGUUAUAAGCCCCUCUUCGUCUGUUCUAUCUUCAUCAUCUCCUACUUCCAUAACAUCGACCUUGUCCUCAAGGUUGAAAGAGGGGUAAAGCUCCCCUAUCUUUGAUUUUUUUUCCCAGGAAGCUUCUGAUUAAGUAAGCCCUUUCCAGACGAUCUUCACUUCAUCAAUAGCUCUUCCACUCGCCAAGAUAGUCCGACGGUCUGUUACUUUGAUCGGGUACAGCACGGGUUGAUUUCCCACUUCCACUCCCGGUAGGUCCUCUUUUGAUGGUGGUGGUAUUUCUCCUUUAUACUUUCUUAGCAACGAAAUAUGAAAAGUAUUAUGAAUUAAACUGUUUACAGGUAAUUGUACCUUAUAGGCUACCCUGCUGAUCUUCUUCUUGAUUUGGUAUGGUCCAAAAAAUCGGGGAGAUAACUUAUGAUGUAGCCUGUGGACUACGGACAUUUGCUGGUAUGGUUUUAGCUUGAUGAACACCCAAUCUCCCUCACUAAAUUCAAUGUCAACUCUGUUUCUGUCUGCUCUGUUUUUCAUGUAAUCCUUGGUUUUAUCCAUGUUUAUUUUUACUGUCUCGAUUAUCUCUUGUCUUCUUAGUAUUUCUUCCUCCACUAGUAGAUUGUUGGAUCCAUCAUUGUGAAAUUCAGUGAAUGAUGCAGCUUCCCUCCCAUAUAGUGCUAGGAAUGGUGACAUACCAAUAGACACAUUAAAUGUUGAAUUGUGCCAUAAUUCUGCCCACGGUAACAUUUCAAGCCAUCUCUUAGGUUGAUCAUGAACUAAAGAUCUUAGGAACAUCUCGAUCCCUCUAUUAGUCACCUCGGUUUGCCCAUCAGUUUCGGGGUGAUAGGCUGAAGAUAAUUUUAGUGUAGUGCCACUUAGCCUAUUCAAUUCCCUCCAAAAGGAACUUGUGAAUACCUUAUCUCUGUCAAAUACUAUCGAAGCUGGAACACCAUGAAGUUUAAUGAUAUUUUCCACAAAAAAUGUUGCCACCAUCUUUGCUGUGAAAUCAGUCGGCAAAGCUCCCAAAUGACAGAAUUUUGAAAGUCUGUCCACCACCACUAUUAUUACUGUUUUACAUUUAACCUUGGGCAGACUUGUGAUGAAGUCUGUAGAGAUGUCCUUCCAAACCGCAUUAGGUGUGGGUAGAGGCAUUAACAAUCCUUGCGGUUUCUUGUUGUCUGAUUUUACUUUCUGACAUACCAAGCAUUCUUCAACAUAUUUUUUUAUUCCUUUGGACAUUCCCUUCCACCAGAAUAAUAGCUUGAUUCUUUUAAUAGUUCUUUCCACUCCUGAAUGGCCCCCAAUAGGGCUGUCAUGGUACUCUUUGAGAAUAUCCUUGAUUAAUUCAGAUUCUUGAGAUACAACAUAUCUCCCAUUAUAUAAUAGCAUUUCACCAUCGAUCUUCCAUUUAGGAUUCUUUUCUAUUCCCAAUCUCACUCUUUCUUUCAAACUGCAUAACUCCUGUUUUUGUUUUUGUUUUUGUUUUUGUUCUUCAUUCAACUCUAUCACUAAGUUGCUCACUAAUUUAGUAAGGCUUAAGAGCGAUCCCGUAGGAAUGGCACUUCUGAUUUCAUCUUCACCCUCUUCUUGAUAGUGCAUCUGCUGCUCUAUUCUCUUUUCUCGGCUUAUAUUUGAUGGUAUAAUCGAACCCUAAUAGCUUGCAUAAGAAUUUCUGUUGGUCGGGGGUUUGUAUCAACUGUGUUAACAUAUUUUUGAUACUUUGAUGAUCAGUGUGGAUGGUGAAUUUGUGACCCAGUAGAUAGUGUCUCCAUUUUCCAAUGGCUUGGGUGAUGGCAUGCAUUUCUUUGGCAUAAGUGGAGGCCAGUAGCAUCCUUCCCGAUAUUUUAGAACUGUGGAAGGCUAGUGGAUGACCUUCCUGGCUCAAAACAGCCCCUACACCUCCUUGACAUGUAUCAGUUUCAAUAUCAAACGGUUUUUCAAAAUCUGGAUGGUAUAAAACAGGAGCUCCCAUGAGUGCCUCUUUUAGUUUCUCUAAACUAGUAGUGGAUGCCUCAUUCCAACUAAAAUUAUCCUAGCUUCUUGAGUAGAUCAGUUAGUGGGGCUGCAAUACUAGCAUAAUUUUUUAUAAAUUUUCUGUAAUAACCUGAGAGCCCUAAAAAUCCUCUUAACCCUUUAAUUGUGGUUGGUUGUGGCCAAUUUUGGACUGCCACUAACUUCUUAGGAUCUGGUUUUAAUCCUUCCCCUGAAAUUAUGUGUCCCAAGAAUUGAAUUUCAUUCUGACAAAAUAAACACUUAGACUCUUUGGCAUAUAAUUGGUUGUCUCUCAAAAUAGUUAAGACCUCUGAGAUGUUGUAGAUGUAUUUUUUUUGAAUUGCUGAAUAUUAGAAUAUCAUCGAAAAAGACCAGUACAAACUUUCUUAAAAUAGGGGUGAAAAUUCUGUUCAUCAUAGCAUGGAAGGUAGAUGGCGCGUUAGAUAAUCCGAAUGGCAUAACCACAAAUUCGUAGUGGCCUUGAUGUGUUCUGAAAGCAUUUUUUUUCUAUGUCUUUAGGAUUAACCAAAAUUUGGUGAUACCCGGAUCUUAAAUCUAAUUUUGAGUACACCACAGACCCUUUCAGUUCGGCUAAGAUUUCAUCCACAGUGGGUAUAGGAAACCUAUCUCUUAUGGUGAUUUUAUUUAAGGCUCUGUAAUCAACACAAAGUCUCCAACUGCCAUCUUUCUUUUUCACCAACAACACUGGUGAAGAAUAACGACUAAUACUCUCUUGCACUAUUUUCUGUUUCAGCAUUUCUUGCACAAUUCUCUGUAUUUCAUCUUUUUGAGAUUGAGCUUGUUUGUAUGGUCUGAUAUUAAUAGGUGUAGCAGAAGGUUCCAAAUGUAUAUUGUGGAACUGUGACCUUACUGGAGGAAGGCUAGUUGGUUCCUCAAACAUAUCUCUGAAUUCCUGUAAUAUUUCUUUUAACUUGUCAUCUUGAUCUGAUUUAUCCUUCUCCUGUUUCUGAUUUGUGACAUUUUUCUGUUCAACAAACUCAAAUCUGCAGAAAUAUGCACUAGCCGUAGACAUUGCUAGGUUUUUCAAUUCAUGAGUAGAAAAGCUAUCAUCAGAUAAUAUGGUUUCU